Triticum aestivum (bread wheat) is the source of this 3090-nucleotide long non-coding RNA. RefSeq lists it as uncharacterized. The record is from RefSeq and is a predicted model, not a curated record. NCBI's taxonomy places the organism in Eukaryota, Viridiplantae, Streptophyta, Magnoliopsida, Poales, Poaceae. The transcript has 2 exons.
CCGGUGAAAGAAAAAAAAAUCCUCCCCAACGCUCACACCCCACCCCCAUUACCCUCCUGCCAGCGACGCCGCCCCCGUUCCCCUCGGACGCCAUGGCGGCCGCAGCCUCCUGGUCCUCCUCUGCACGCAUCAUCGCCUGCAACACCGCUAACCACGGUCUUCACUGGCGUCGUGAUGGCCGCGACCUCCACCCAGAGCCAUCCGCCGUUGGGCCCUUAUACCCCCUCCCGAAGGGAUCCACCACGGACAAGGGAACGGCCGCUCUUGGGCGUCGGGAUGUGGUCGUCGCGUGGCGCGGCAUGAUAGGCUCUGGAGUUGGUCGAUGACCCGGAGUUCGCCAUUGUACCGCCCAGAGGCCUCCUCGGCAAGGCCGCCUGAGCCUGCGCAGACGCUUGGUGGACCGCGGCUGAAUCUCCAUCUACACCUUCACCCCGGCAUCCACCAACAACAAGGACAACGCCAGAAACUGAUUUUCAGAAUACCGAGGGAAAUAUUGCGUUGGAAGGAUCCCGGGUUGGCGGGGGCGGCCAGACCAGGUGGCAAAUGCGAUGCACAAGUUGAGGAGCGAAGGUAAAGAGGAGAGGCCACGACAACCCGAGCAGCAGCGAGGGGAUGGAUCAGCGGCCGGGCAGCUGCGUCGACCCGAGCAGUUGCGAGAGCGAAUGAAGCUGCAGCUGCACGGACAAGCUUGUGGAGAUGUUAGUAUGCACGCAUGCGUCCAUGAUUUGGAGCACGCCUCUGGCCUGGUAGGAUUCUCGCUCUGCCCCGACCUCAAGGGCGUUCGUCUAUCUGUGUUGUGCUCGGGGCGAUGCACUAAUGCAGGUGUGGUUCUUCAGCUUUUCUUUGUCUUUUUCUUGGUAUGUAUAUCUCUGAAUCUUGUGAGCCGUGAUUUUCAUGCUGCCAUGUAUGCCAUUGUGUCCUGUAUAAUGAUUCUUCUUAUUAUUUUUGAAUGGCAUAAUUAUUCUUAUUGAGGCACUGCCGCUGCCUAAUUUGCUUAUAGAAAUAACAUACUAAUUAAUACAGGGAGAGAGUACGACUUUUAAAACAAUCUGCAGUACCCGUGAGCCUGCUCAUAGGUAGAUAUCGAUACAUUUUGUAGCUUCCAUUCUUGUUUUCUCUCAUUGAAAUUAUGGAUUUGGAAACUAACCAUGGAGUGUCUAGAUUGCCUGCUAUAUUACCAAGUGCGCUGAAGGAAAAGCUGCUGCCACUGUGGAUGACCACUUUAGGUGAUAUAAUUCAUGUUUGCUUUGUUGUUUCAGUAACUUCCUGUAGCAUAUUGGUUCCAUCUUUUUUUUUUUGCAUCAUGGUACAUUAUUCUCAUCUUGAUAUAUAUCAUUUGGUCAACUGAAGAUUUGAGUGCAGGGUAGAAUUCUUGGUUGAUUUAAGAAUUUCGUUGUUGAUUAGUUGGCCAACAGACUUUUAUGAAAUUCAAGGAGUCAUUUAGUGUACUAUAUGUCAUAUUUGUCUUAUUUCUAUACUCACAAUAUUUCCGCAUCAUCUGAACAAAUGAUGCUAAAUUGAUAUAAUCAUUUUGGAUCAGUGUCAUCUUCUCAAUGCUGAACAGCCAAAAUAUAUACAUAGUGAGCAGUCCGCCGCACAUGCUCAUACGUCAUAUUUAUGUACUGUUUAACACGGCAAAAAUUGGUCAAACAUUUAAAUAUUUCUACUGUUUAACACAGCCAAAGUAUAUACAUAAUGAUCAGUCCUCCGCUGCACGUUAGAUCCAGCCUCCCUCCCUUGACACCAUUCUUCUUACUUAUUAUUAUUUCUUUUAAAAAUAUCUUUAGUUUUAUUUUCUAGAUACUUCAAUUCAUUCGUAUAUGGACUUCCAUCGCACUACGAGGAUGAUCCAUGGCUGGUCGCGGACGAUCACCUGCGAGGACGAUUCAUGGCCGGUUGGGGAUGGUCAGUUCCAUCACACUGCGAGGAGAUGAUUCAUGGCCGGUCGGGGAUGGUCACCUACGGUGAGCACGAGUACCUCCUCCAUAUCCUCCCUAUACUAGCACCCUUGGCGAUGAAAAUGACAACCAGGAGAAUCCCUCCUUCACACCUCUUUUCCAUCUCUGUCAGAUUGUCCUCUCCAGCAAGGUGUCUAUGCAUGAAUCAUAUUUAAACAUCGAUGAAAGUUUUAACUUCCUGCAAAUUUUGGUGAUGAAAUAACAUUGGUGGACGUCUGGACAAAAAGAAAAAAACGAUGCUCCAAAAUGCUUCCGAGAACGAAUCUUCUGGAGCGUCGAAUUUUUUUUGCCCAGACCUACACGAAUGUCAUUUCAUCAAAAACAUUUGCAAGAAGUUAAAACUUUCAUAGAUGUUUAUAAAAAAUCAGAUUUUUUUUAUUUUUUAUGUGUUUUUGGAUUUUACUGUUCAUCAAGGAGCAUGUGAGCUCGGGUUCAAAUACUCCACGUCCUCAUAUUUAUUCCUAUUCUCCUUUUGUCAUUUUUUACAUCUAGGCAUAUAGUGUUUUGCUGUGUCUCAAAGUUUUACCUUUUUAAAAGUGAUAUGUGUUUAUAUUUUGUGGAUGUUUUUGUUGCUGGUAUAUAUUCUCAAGUGAUAAUCAUCAUAUCUUGUCAAUCUCUAUGUUAUGAGAGGUAUAAAAAUAUAAUCGGAUCUAAAUUUGAUAGUAUGCUACCUUGGCCAAUAUACUGCAUCAUGUGAAUGUUUCUCGUUCCCAAAAGUGCACUAUAUCUGGCCUCUCUGGCCACGAAGGCUGCAAGGUUGCACCUUGGAGCUCAAAAUUUGGUGUCUUCGCAUUGAAGGAUCCAAUCCAUCGACUUUGGAGUUUGAACAUGUCACUUGUGAUGGGGAGAGGAAGAGAUGACUUGCAUACACUGGACAAUGAGUGUGUUAGCAGCGUGGUGGCUCAGGACUGUACAAGUUGUAGUAGCCCCUUCCCUUAUAAAUGUUUUGUUUUGAUUGGAAGCACCUUAUAAUUUAGCUAAUAUAUGGAUUUCAUUUACAUCGUCUGUCCAAGUAUGCGAGGCCCAUGAGAUGGGCAUUAAUCACUUCUCUUUUGUCUCAGUAUUUUGAUAGGGGACCUAUGUAUAUGGAAGGAGUUAGUAUCAUGUAAAUCGUAUCACCAAUUUAAGGAUC